ACAACUGAGAGAAGGGCUUGAACCUUCGGUAAUAGAUCCUAAAUCUAUUGCAUUACCGCUUUGCUACCCCAG
This 72-nucleotide transfer RNA is filed under the name Parvulastra calcarata. Its description in RNAcentral is "tRNA-Leu". The record is from RNAcentral. Lineage: Eukaryota; Metazoa; Echinodermata; Asteroidea; Valvatida; Asterinidae.